CAUGACCUUUUGUAUAAAUGCAGUGGAGGAUCAAAUAAUUUUCCAUUCAAGAAAAAGCCCUCUGUUUCUGCUCUUAUAGGACAUUUCAAUUCAAUACACAAACCAGGGUACUUGCAGAAUCUAUGCUGGAGGCACUUCUGCUGCGAAGAUUUGGAAGUGACACAGCUGUGAGUCAAAUACUAGUUGAGUAAUAAAUAACUGUAAUAGGGAACAGCUCUCAUCAGAUUUUAAAGUGAUGUAGCAAGUCAAUAUUCCACUUCUUAUUUUACAGAUAAUGCAGAGAGUGCAAGCAACUUCCCAUGGUGAUCCACCUCGGCAGCAGCAAAACUGACAGAAGGGAACUGUGGCCUCCUACUGCAGCAGGCUGAGCACGACCCUGUCUUGAAGCUACGCUUCAAUGUCCCUUCAAGGAAGCUGGUCCGUCUCCUCUCCAGAGUGUGACUGCUGCUGCUGCUCUUUGUUGAGUGCAGUAUUUUGGAUUUCAGCCUGUUAACUGGGUAGAUUCCAUCAAGGGUCCAGCUUAUUUUGGAAUAAUCUCCAUGAAGGUACUGCAGCCGCAGAGCUGCCAGACGCUGCAGAGUGUCCUCCGGCCCAGGAAAAUGACCAGCUAUGAGGCUUUCGUGAGCCUACAAACAAAAAGUCCCCCAAACUCAUUAGAAAGCAAAAGCACACUUUAUUCCCAUCUGGGUCCAUGUACAGAUUCCUGUCACAUAUGCUGAUCCCAGUAGGAUAAACAUAAUUCAGGAGGUCAGAGCAGACAUUGUAACAAAUAUGUCAAAGUCUGCAAGUGGUUGAUAUGGGGGGGAGAACACCCCUUUCUUCAAGCCUGAAUGGGACAGAGAUCUUUGAGGGGCUCCUAUCCUGUACAGAAAGUCCUACAAUGAGGACCUUUUAGGUCUGGAACAGAUGGGAGAGACCAGAUUUGGUGCAAUUUGCCUACAGCUCCAUGUGAAGAUUAUAUUCAACAUCAGUGUAAUAUAUAAUAAAUUCAAGAUUCUCAAUCUCAGUUUCAUUACACAAAAGCACCUCCCACCUCUUCCUCCUUCACCUGAUGUCUCCACGAAAUCUAUUAACGGGGCUUUCUGCACAUCCAUCUAAUGUCUGGGUAACACCUACUCUCCUACUGUUACUUCUCUUUGCCAGUUAAAGCUGUGUAGACUGAAAGCCUUGUCAAGAGGGAGUUUGGUACAACUGAGGUUGUAAGCAAGCAGCUACUUCUAAUGAUUCUCAUAAAUCAUUACCCAAAUUUCUCUGCCUUCAAAAAUUAAAGACCAAGUUUAAAAAAAA
Onychostruthus taczanowskii (white-rumped snowfinch) is the source of this 1287-nucleotide long non-coding RNA. RefSeq lists it as uncharacterized. NCBI's taxonomy places the organism in Eukaryota, Metazoa, Chordata, Aves, Passeriformes, Passeridae. The record is from RefSeq and is a predicted model, not a curated record. The transcript is spliced from 2 exons.